RNAcentral lists this ribosomal RNA (232 nucleotides) under uncultured bacterium. RNAcentral's name for it is "partial 16S ribosomal RNA". It matches the Rfam family "Bacterial small subunit ribosomal RNA", at positions 100 to 334 of the family's 1533-position model. The record is from RNAcentral.
CGGGACGGGUGAGUAAUGUCUAGGGAAAUGCCGAUGGAGGGGGAUAACUACUGGAAACGGUAGCUAAUACCGCAUAACGUCGCAAGACCAAAGAGGGGGACCUUCGGGCCUCUUGCCAUCGGAUGUGCCCAGAUGGGAUUAGCUAGUAGGUGGGGUAACGGCUCACCUAGGCGACGAUCCCUAGCUGGUCUGAGAGGAUGACCAGCCACACUGGAACUGAGACACGGUCCAG